This 481-nucleotide ribosomal RNA is filed under the name uncultured bacterium. Its description in RNAcentral is "bacterial SSU rRNA". It matches the Rfam family "Bacterial small subunit ribosomal RNA", at positions 28 to 507 of the family's 1533-position model. The record is from RNAcentral.
GACGAACGCUGGCGGCGUGCCUAACACAUGCAAGUCGAACGAAGCAUAGCAAUAUGCUUAGUGGCGGACGGGUGAGUAACGCGUGAACAAUCUGCCCUGUACAAAGGAAUAGCCUCGGGAAACCGGGAUUAAAACCGUAUGACACUUUAGUAUCGCAUGAUAAGAAAGUCAAAUCGAUUAGAGGUAUGGGAUGAGUUCGCGUCUGAUUAGCUGGUUGGCGGGGUAACGGCCCACCAAGGCGACGAUCAGUAGCCGGCCUGAGAGGGUGAACGGCCACACUGGAACUGAGACACGGUCCAGACUCCUACGGGAGGCAGCAGUGGGGAAUAUUCCGCAAUGGACGAAAGUCUGACGGAGCAACGCCGCGUGAGUGAUGAAGGUUUUCGGACUGUAAAGCUCUGUUGUUUGGGACGAAAGUGCCUGUUGCGAACAGUUACGGGUAUUGACGGUACUAAACGAGGAAGCCACGGCUAACUACGUG